Molecule: long non-coding RNA, 275 nt
Organism: Octopus sinensis (East Asian common octopus)
Lineage: Eukaryota; Metazoa; Mollusca; Cephalopoda; Octopoda; Octopodidae
Exons: 3
Source: RefSeq, a predicted model, not a curated record
UGCCAUUCAUCCUUUCGGGGUCGAUAAAUUAAUUUUGUAGGCGCAAUGGCCCAGUGGUUAGGGCAGCGAACUCGCGGUCUUAGGAUCGCGGUUUCGAUUCCCAGACUAGGCGUUGUGAGUGUUAUUGAGCGGAGACACACCUAAAGCUCCCUGAAGCUCCGGCAGGGGUUGGUGGUGAACCCUGCUGUAAUCUUUCACCACAACUUUCUCUCACCUUUUUUCCUGUUUCUGUUGUACUUGUAUUUCAAAAGGCCAGCCUUGUCCCACACUGUGUC